UGGCGGACGGGUGAGUAACGCGUGGGUAACCUGCCCUGUACAGGGGGAUAACAGUUGGAAACGGCUGCUAAAACCGCAUAACAUGGAGAUACCGCAUGAUAUUUCCAUCAAAUAUUUAUAGGUACAGGAUGGGCCCGCGUCUGAUUAGCCAGUUGGCAGGGUAAUGGCCUACCAAAGCGACGAUCAGUAGCCGGCUUGAGAGAGUGAACGGCCACAUUGGGACUGAGACACGGCCCAAACUCCUACGGGAGGCAGCAG
This 258-nucleotide ribosomal RNA is filed under the name uncultured bacterium. Its description in RNAcentral is "partial 16S ribosomal RNA". It matches the Rfam family "Bacterial small subunit ribosomal RNA", at positions 96 to 354 of the family's 1533-position model. The record is from RNAcentral.